UGAAGACGUUUGCUGGGAAAUUAUAAUAAUCUAUCAUUUCUGAUAUCUGCAUGUCAAGAUGGCAACUUCCAUUUUCCUCUUGACAUGCCAUUUCCUAUCCUUCGUUUUGCUCUAUGUGCCUUUCAUUUACUUUCUCAACGCAGUCUUAUGCAAAUUCCGGCUAGUUUCCGCCGACGGCCCUCCCACUUAUCCCAUCAUUGGAUGCUUGAUUUCAUUUUACAAAAACCAGAGUCGUCUUCUAGAUUGGUAUACUGAACUGCUUGCAAAAUCAACAACCAACACCAUUGUUGUGAAACGGCUUGGAGCACGCAGAACAAUUGUUACUGCUAACCCGGAGAAUGUUGAAUAUAUGCUCAAAACAAACUUUAACAAUUUCCCCAAGGGCAAGCCUUUCACUGAGAUUCUUGGGGAUUUUCUUGGCUAUGGCAUUUUCAAUGUGGAUGGGGAGCUUUGGCACACACAACGCAAGUUGGCUAGCCAUGAUUUCACAGCUAAAUCACUGCGAGAUUUCUUCAUGAUUACAUUGGAAGAAGAAGUAAAUAAAUGUUUGUUGCCGGUUUUGGGGUCGCUGGAAGAAACAGGAGAGGCGGUGGACCUGCAAGAAUUGUUGAGACGGCUUGCAUUUAAUAUUAUUUGCAAAGUUUCACUGGGGAUUGGUCGCUGUUGCUUAGAUCCUUCUCUGCCUGUUCCUCCUCUUGCAAGAGCUUUUGACAUGGCAUCAGAGAUAAGCGCGAGGCGAGCAGCUGCUCCUUUAUUUGCAAUUUGGAAGAUAAAGAGAUGGCUUGGGAUUGGAUCUGAAAAAAGGCUUAAAGAUGCCGUUGAACAAGUUCAUCAAUAUGUUGCAGAGAUUAUUGUUAAGAGGAAGAAGAUGAUAGUAGAAGGAGCAGAAAAUCAGGGUGAAGAUCUCCUUUCACGGCUCAUAUUGGCUGGCCAUGAAGAGAAGGUGAUAAGAGACAUGAUGAUAAGUUUCAUCAUGGCAGGGAGGGACACCACUUCAGCGGCAAUGACGUGGCUCUUCUGGUUGCUCUCUUGUCAUCCUGAAAUAGAAGAAGAGUUAGUGAAGGAGACGAAAUUUACAACAGAAAGAAAGCUAGAUUAUGACUCGUUGAAGGCGUUGAGAAUGUUAAAGGCAUGUCUAUGUGAAUCAAUGAGGCUCUACCCACCCGUAGCCUGGGACUCGAAGCACGCUCUCGCCGAUGAUUUGUUGCCGGACAAUACUCCUGUCCGAGCAGGAGAUAGGGUGACUUACUUCCCCUACGGGAUGGGGAGAAUGGAAGCACUGUGGGGCAAGAAUCGGCUAGAAUUCAAACCAGAGAGAUGGUUCCUUGAACCAGAAAAGAGAAGCUCGCUGAAGAAGGUAAGUCCUUACAAAUUUCCAAUAUUUCAGGCAGGACCAAGGGUGUGCCUUGGGAAGGAGAUGGCUUUCAUUCAGAUGAAGUACGUUGUGGCUUCCAUUCUCAGGCAGUACGAAAUCAGACCGGUAAGGUCAGACCAUCCACCGGUCUUCGUGCCACGGUUAACGGCUCACAUGGCCGGCGGCCUGAAGGUUGUGGUUAGAAAGAGAUAAGCACGUAGGAUUGACUAAAAUUAAUUAAAUAUAGUUGAUUCAACGCUGCAUGCUUUAGAUAUAAUGGAAAGGUGUAACAUGUCAUUAUCGAACUUAAUUGAGAUGACA
RNAcentral lists this unclassified non-coding RNA (1675 nucleotides) under Hevea brasiliensis (rubber tree). Lineage: Eukaryota; Viridiplantae; Streptophyta; Magnoliopsida; Malpighiales; Euphorbiaceae. The record is from RNAcentral.